RNAcentral lists this long non-coding RNA (796 nucleotides) under Amborella trichopoda. RNAcentral's name for it is "long non-coding RNA (ATRI_LNC002661)". The record is from RNAcentral. Lineage: Eukaryota; Viridiplantae; Streptophyta; Magnoliopsida; Amborellales; Amborellaceae.
UUCUGGCCCACUCCCCCUGUCUUCCCCUUUUCUCUCCCCUCUUUUCCUCUCAUUUGCAGCUAGUCCGUAAGGGAUAACUACCAUAGGAUGAGGGACAAAUGAUGUCUCAGCUACGUCCUCUCAACAUCUCUUGGCUUGGUAGUUCAUCACUACUCAGUUUGGUAGGUUGGAGGCAUUCCAGCUCCCGAGGACUAGUCGUGGACUUAGCAAUCUCCUUCCACCCCUUUCUUUCCCGGCCCUGAAGCAUGUACCCACUCAGCUUUGACAGCCGAAUUCUUUCCAACUCCUGACAACUACUCGAGGACCCAGAAUCCUCCUGCAUCUUACUUUCUUUAGUCCCUAACCCCCUUCUUAAUAGGUAUCUUCUUUUUUGUAUUCCAUCUUACCCUUUAAGCCUCCCUUCUCCCUUCUCCUUAUGUACUUGGUGCACCAGUUUAUAGGGUCACACCUUUUUCUCCUCUUUUUUUGAGUUCUUUCAGUUAUUUACUCUCUCUUCUUCUCCCCCUUUACUCUGAGCAACCAUCUUGUGGGUAUCGAUUGGCCACAUCUUGUGGAUCUUGUGGGUAUCGAUUGGCCACAUCUUGUGGGUACCGAUUGGCCACAUAGGAAAAGUCAGAAAGGAUUGAACCAAUGUCGGGUUCCCACUUCUAGACAUGGACAUGAUCGGCCAAGUUGGGAAAGAGAUACUCAGAACCAUGUCAGGUUCAUCCAGCAUCACUGGGUUGAGCUGACCCACUAAGCACCCUUGCAAGCCACCCGCCACACACUUAUAAGCCACUCACUACUGAUGGCCUUG